Molecule: unclassified non-coding RNA, 250 nt
Filed under: plant metagenome
Description: partial contains small subunit ribosomal RNA, internal transcribed spacer 1, and 5.8S ribosomal RNA
Source: RNAcentral
GUAGGUGAACCUGCGGAAGGAUCAUUACAAAUCCAAAAAAUUACCCGUUAAAAUGUUUUCGGCCUUGGGGCCUGGCUAUUCUUAUUAUUAUCUCUUCACAGUCGCUCGCUACUUUUUUCCUUCUUCCUCCUUUGCUGUCGUCUCUCUCUCGCAAGAGAGGAGGAUGGAUGGUUAGGGUGAGAGGGGCAAGUAGGGGGUAGUGUCUGGAUAUAUUAGUAGAUGAUGACAGUGCCAUUCCAAACCAAGGUUC